Molecule: ribosomal RNA, 504 nt
Filed under: uncultured bacterium
Lineage: Bacteria
Description: partial 16S ribosomal RNA
Rfam family: Bacterial small subunit ribosomal RNA
Source: RNAcentral
GAUGAACGCUGGCGGCGUGCGUAACACAUGCAAGUCGAACGGUAGCACAGAGAGCUUGCUCUCGGGUGACGAGUGGCGGACGGGUGAGUAAUGUCUGGGAAACUGCCCGAUGGAGGGGGAUAACUACUGGAAACGGUAGCUAAUACCGCAUAACGUCGCAAGACCAAAGUGGGGGACCUUCGGGCCUCACACCAUCGGAUGUGCCCAGAUGGGAUUAGCUAGUAGGUGGGGUAAUGGCUCACCUAGGCGACGAUCCCUAGCUGGUCUGAGAGGAUGACCAGCCACACUGGAACUGAGACACGGUCCAGACUCCUACGGGAGGCAGCAGUGGGGAAUAUUGCACAAUGGGCGCAAGCCUGAUGCAGCCAUGCCGCGUGUAUGAAGAAGGCCUUCGGGUUGUAAAGUACUUUCAGCGGGGAGGAAGGCGGUGAAGUUAAUAGCUUCACCGAUUGACGUUACCCGCAGAAGAAGCACCGGCUAACUCCGUGCCAGCCGCCGCAGUAA